UGGGGAAUAUUGCACAAUGGGCGGAAGCCUGCUGCAGCGACGCCGCGUGGGGGAUGAAGGCCUUCGGGUUGUAAACUCCUUUCGACAGGGACGAAGCUUUUGUGACGGUACCUGUAUAAGAAGCACCGGCUAACUACGUGCCAGCAGCCGCGGUAAUACGUAGGGUGCGAGCGUUGUCCGGAAUUACUGGGCGUAAAGAGCUCGUAGGUGGUUUGUCGCGUCGUCUGUGAAAUUCCGGGGCUUAACUCCGGGCGUGCAGGCGAUACGGGCUGACUUGAGUGCUGUAGGGGAGACUGGAAUUCCUGGUGUAGCGGUGAAAUGCGCAGAUAUCAGGAGGAACACCGAUGGCGAAGGCAGGUCUCUGGGCAGUAACUGACGCUGAGGAGCGAAAGCAUGGGUAGCGAACAGG
RNAcentral lists this ribosomal RNA (409 nucleotides) under Actinomycetes bacterium. Its description in RNAcentral is "Actinobacteria bacterium partial 16S ribosomal RNA". It matches the Rfam family "Bacterial small subunit ribosomal RNA", at positions 355 to 776 of the family's 1533-position model. Lineage: Bacteria; Bacillati; Actinomycetota; Actinomycetes. The record is from RNAcentral.